AGCAUCCGCUUUAAUGGUCGGAAUAUCGAAUACGUUCCAUUCUGAAUAAGUUUGAGUGCAGGUUCAAUAUUCUACACUUUAUUGCUUACUCUUAUACUUUUAUAUUCAGGGGAAAGUGAAUCGCCGGAAGGUCUCGACCGGAGUGCAACUGUCGUUCGCAUACAAGUAGGCACCUUUGAAAUUGUUCUUUUGAAUUCAAAUAAUCAUAUCUCUUUGUACCGUCAUUUAUAUCAAUCUGGCGCUGCUCUGUGGUUUUGCUUAAAAGAAAACUAGCAAUCAGGAAGAACUGGUAUGUUAACCGAUUGCAGAGCAUAUUUCUGGCACACACUACCCCUAGUAAUGCUGUCAUCUAUGAGCGACGCUCACUACUCAUCAUUAGAGGAAACUUAUCAUCGUCUAUCUAUAAAGGAAAUUAAAAAAUAAAAGUUAGUACAUUAUUAUAUUUAAAAAAGUAAACCAUUCCUGUACUAUUUUCUCACAAUCUGAAUUAGUGACAUUGUCAAAUGAAAUUUCUAGAGCAACAAUAGUAGUCGACUUAAGUAAUACCCACAAAAUUAUAGUAGGGCCUUUAAAGUAAUAAGAACCGUCUUUCAAUUAUCGAAGUGUUUGAAUAAACGCAGGCAAGAUCAAGAUCAAGCUUAUCGCAAACGUUUUAAGUAAUAAUUAACUAAUCUCAUUAGAUAAGUCUUGGGGAGGUUUUAGAGAAAACAAAUCGUAAUUUUUCUUUAAAGUAUUUUUGGUGGAAUAUUUUAUUACACAUCAUGGUAACUCGGUACUCGACAAGAAAUUGAUAUUGUACUGCCUGUUCCUAAAGUUUAUAUGAGAUAGUAGGAAUUAAAGAGAAGGUAAAUUAAGGAUCGGUUUCAUUUAAUGAUAUGUAUACUAUUUUUUGGAUUAUACUUGUGUACAAACAAAGAAAAAAUUCAUUAUUAAAAACGUAUUCCUAUUUUUAUCGAUAACACGCUAAAGUAUUUAUUGAUUAUUAAAUAAAAAGAAAA
Molecule: long non-coding RNA, 998 nt
Organism: Bombyx mori (domestic silkworm)
Lineage: Eukaryota; Metazoa; Arthropoda; Insecta; Lepidoptera; Bombycidae
Exons: 3
Source: RefSeq, a predicted model, not a curated record